RNAcentral lists this ribosomal RNA (494 nucleotides) under uncultured bacterium. RNAcentral describes it as "partial 16S ribosomal RNA". It matches the Rfam family "Bacterial small subunit ribosomal RNA", at positions 28 to 507 of the family's 1533-position model. The record is from RNAcentral.
GACGAACGCUGGCGGCGUGCUUAACACAUGCAAGUCGAACGGUGAAGCGCCUUCCUUUUUGGUGGGUGUGGAUGAGUGGCGAACGGGUGAGUAACACGUGAGUAACCUGCCCCCUUCUCCUGGAUAACCGCAUGAAAGUGUGGCUAAUACGGGAUAUUCUGGGUCUGUCGCAUGAUGGGUCUGGGAAAGAUAUUGUUUCGGUGGGGGAUGGGCUCGCGGCCUAUCAGCUUGUUGGUGGGGUGAUGGCCUACCAAGGCGGUGACGGGUAGCCGGCCUGAGAGGGUGGACGGUCACACUGGGACUGAGACACGGCCCAGACUCCUACGGGAGGCAGCAGUGGGGAAUAUUGCACAAUGGGCGCAAGCCUGAUGCAGCGACGCCGCGUGAGGGAUGGAGGCCUUCGGGUUGUGAACCUCUCUCGCCAGUGAAGCAGGCCUGCCUCGUUUGUGGGUGGGUUGACGGUAGCUGGAUAAGAAGCGCCGGCUAACUACGUG